Molecule: long non-coding RNA, 638 nt
Organism: Cyprinus carpio carpio
Lineage: Eukaryota; Metazoa; Chordata; Actinopteri; Cypriniformes; Cyprinidae
Source: Ensembl
ACUUUCUUCAAACCAAAUUUGUUCAGUUAUACACAAGAAAUAUGGAUUUAAUUGUUUGAAUCAUUUAUUUUUUAAAGGAGACUGCAUCCUGCCAAGACACUUUACGGACAAUGCCAAGUCAUUUCAGAAAAUACAUUUUCUGCUGCUUUAAAAAUCUUUGAAGGAAUGCAGCCAAAGACAGCAGCGGGGUUUGGGGAAGCGGCCCUGUGUUUGUGGGAAGAAUGGACUUCCAGCCGCGUGAAGGAAUACACCUGCUGCACCGAAGCACAAACACUGCUCCCCGAGACACGCUUCACAGAGACACAGCCGAGCUCUUGUGCUUCAGAUGAAGGUUUUGGUUUGUUUUCUGAUCACAGUGUCAAAACUGGCAUCAUUACAGUAUUAAAGCAUUUCCAGCUGAUGACAAUACCUUCUAAGAACGGCUGCAGAUGUUCACAUGAAUGUUCUAUUAACAUAACUGGAAGAACAUCUGUACAAAACCUUGCCAGAACAUUAGACAAAGUUAUGAGAAUGUUUAGCUGGGCUAAAAACCUGUUAGCAGUUAUUCAUUUUCAUAUCCUAAACAGAGCUGAGAAGAUUACUUACAAAUUAUCAUCCGUUACAGAUGCCAUACAUGACAUGACAAAAACUGUAGUGAU